AAACCAACUGGGAUUACCUUAGUAACGGCGAGUGAAGCGGUAAAAAGCUCAAAUUUGAAAUCUGGUACUUUCAGUGCCCGAGUUGUAAUUUGUAGAAUCUGUCUUUGAUUAGGUCCUUGUCUAUGUUCCUUGGAACAGGACGUCAUAGAGGGUGAGAAUCCCGUUUGGCGAGGAUACCUUUUCUCUGUAAGACUUUUUCGAAGAGUCGAGUUGUUUGGGAAUGCAGCUCAAAGUGGGUGGUAAAUUCCAUCUAAAGCUAAAUAUUGGCGAGAGACCGAUAGCGAACAAGUACAGUGAUGGAAAGAUGAAAAGAACUUUGAAAAGAGAGUGAAAAAGUACGUGAAAUUGUUGAAAGGGAAGGGCAUUUGAUCAGACAUGGUGUUUUUGCAUGCACUCGCCUCUCGUGGGCUUGGGCCUCUCAAAAAUUUCACUGGGCCAACAUCAAUUCUGGCAGCAGGAUAAAUCAUUAAGAAUGUAGCUACUUCGGUAGUGUUAUAGCUUUUUGGAAUACUGUUAGCCGGGU
Molecule: ribosomal RNA, 523 nt
Filed under: uncultured Hanseniaspora
Lineage: Eukaryota; Fungi; Ascomycota; Saccharomycetes; Saccharomycodales; Saccharomycodaceae
Description: eukaryotic LSU rRNA
Rfam family: Eukaryotic large subunit ribosomal RNA
Source: RNAcentral